CCCAACUUGGGAGAAACGGAUUUAUGACGACAUUUUGUAUUCUAGAUAGGCCUAGUGGAAAAUUUUGAUAGAUAUGAAAUCUGAUUUAUUUUUUUGAAGUUUCCUCGUGUUUGUUUAUUUUGAUAUUUGUAAUUAUCAAAGAAUAAAAACUUAUUUAUUUCUUUGUAAUUAGAUUGUCUUUCAUUUCUUAACCUGAAGUAGUGUAGUGGGCCCUAUAAAUCUAAGCAGACUUGUUUCUAAUAUGGAAUACUAACACAUGCCCAUAUAUGCAAUAGUAUUCUAUAUUAGGAACAAUUUCUUCAGGUUACUAAUGAAUUUUCCUCCUUGUUUUAGCAAUAUGCCAAAGAUGAAAAGGCAAAAAUGGGAUAAAGAUGCUAUGCAAGCUGUUGUUGAAGCAGUUAAAAGCAACGAAAUGGGAUUCAAGAAGACAGCCAUGAUUUAUGACGUGCCUCGAAUGACCGUA
Molecule: long non-coding RNA, 463 nt
Filed under: Androctonus crassicauda
Lineage: Eukaryota; Metazoa; Arthropoda; Arachnida; Scorpiones; Buthidae
Source: RNAcentral